Antechinus flavipes (yellow-footed antechinus) is the source of this 871-nucleotide long non-coding RNA. RefSeq lists it as uncharacterized. The record is from RefSeq and is a predicted model, not a curated record. Lineage: Eukaryota; Metazoa; Chordata; Mammalia; Dasyuromorphia; Dasyuridae. The transcript is spliced from 2 exons.
UUUUUUUUUAUAAUAACUUUAUAUUGACAGAAUCCAUGCCAGGGUAAUUUUUUUUUACAACAUUAUCCCUUGCACUCACUUCUGUUCCGAUUUUUCCCCUCCCUUCCUCCACCCCCUCCCCUAGAUGGCAAACAGUCCUAUAUAUGUUAGAUAUGUUGCAGUAUAUCCUAGAUACAAUAUAUGUUUGCAGAACCGAACAGUUCUCUUGUUGCACAGGGAGAAUUGGAUUCACAAGGUAAAAAUAACCUGGGAAGAAAAACAAAAAUGCAAAUAGUUCACAUUCAUUUCCCAGUGUUCUUUCUUUGGAUGUAGCUGCUUCUGUCCAUCAUUUAUCAAUUGAAACUCAGUUAGGUCUCUUUGUCAAAGAAAUCCACUUCCAUCAAAAUAUGUCCUCAUACAAUAUCGUUGUCGAAGUGUAUAAUAAUCUCCUGGUUCUGCUCAUUUCACUUAGCAUCAGUUCAUGUAAGUCUCGCCAGUCCUCUCUGUAUUCAUCCUGCUGGUCAUUUCUUACAGAACAAUAAUAUUCCAUAACAUUCAUAUACCACAAUUUACCCAGCCAUUCUCCAAUUGAUGGGCAUCCAUUCAUUUUCCAGUUUCUAGCCACUACAAACAGGGCUGCUACAAACAUUUUGGCACAUACAGGUCCCUUUUCUUUCUUUAGUAUUUCUUUGGGAUAUAAGCCCAAUAGGAACACUGCUGGAUCAAAGGGUAUGCACAAUUUGAUAACUUUUUGGGCAUAAUUCCAGAUUGCUCUCCAGAAUGGUUGGAUUCGUUCACAACUCCACCAACAAUGCAUUAGUGUCCCAGGUUUCCCGCAUCCCUUCCAACAUUCAUCAUUAUUUUUUCCUGUCAUCUUAGCCAAUCUGACAGG